UUCUUCUCUUCAGAAACAGCAAGGCCUCCCAAGAGGAGUUAGCAAAGCCUAGUACAUCCAGCUGAGGCAGGUCCAAGCCCCUCCCCACUGCUCCAAGGCUGUGCAAGGCU
Peromyscus maniculatus bairdii (prairie deer mouse) is the source of this 110-nucleotide non-coding RNA. Lineage: Eukaryota; Metazoa; Chordata; Mammalia; Rodentia; Cricetidae. The record is from RefSeq and is a predicted model, not a curated record.